UGACCGCCUGGGGAGUACGCCGCAAGUUAAACUCAAAUGAAUUGACGGGGGCCCGCACAAGCGUGGAGCAUGUGUUAUUCGACGCAACGCGAAGAACCUUACCUGACCUUGACAUCACAGGAACCUCACUGAAGGGUGAGGGUGCCUUCGGGAACCUGUAGACAGGUGCUGCAUGGCUGUCGUCAGCUCGUGUCGUGAGAUGUUGGGUUAAGUCCCGCAACGAGCGCAACCCUUGCUACCAGUUGCCAUCACGUUAUGGUGGGCACUCUGGUGGGACUGCCGGUGACAAGCCGGAGGAAGGUGGGGAUGACGUCAAGUCAUCAUGGCUCUUACGAGUUGGGCUACACACGUGCUACAAUGGCAACUACAAAGAGGAUCGAGGCUGUGAGGCCAAGGCAAUCUUAAAAAGUUGUCUCAGUUCGGAUUGUUCUCUGCAACUCGAGAACAUGAAGUUGGAAUCGCUAGUAAUCGCGGAACAGCAUGCCGCGGUGAAUACGUUCCCGGGUCUUGUACACACCGCCCGUCACGCCAUGGGAGUUGGUUCUGCCUGACGGCGUUGAGGUAACCUAGCAAUAGGAGCCUGGCGACCACGGUAGGGUCAGCGACUGGGGCG
Molecule: ribosomal RNA, 613 nt
Filed under: uncultured rumen bacterium
Lineage: Bacteria
Description: bacterial SSU rRNA
Rfam family: Bacterial small subunit ribosomal RNA
Source: RNAcentral